Octopus sinensis (East Asian common octopus) is the source of this 881-nucleotide long non-coding RNA. RefSeq lists it as uncharacterized. NCBI's taxonomy places the organism in Eukaryota, Metazoa, Mollusca, Cephalopoda, Octopoda, Octopodidae. The transcript is spliced from 2 exons. The record is from RefSeq and is a predicted model, not a curated record.
UUAUAUGCCACCGGCACGGAGGCCAAAAUUUGCUAAAAUUUAAUCACCAUUUAGAUGUGGUGGCUACUGUAGUCUGAGUGGAGUUACAUCCUUGCUUUUGUAAAUUUGUUACAGGAAGAUGCUAAAGAUGAAAAAAGUGAAGAAGAUAAAAAGAAAGAAAAGGAAGAAAGUGAAACUAUUUUGGAAAAUGAGGAGAAAGAUAAAAAUUCCCGGACGUGUUUGAUCCUGUGAAAAGAAGGUUCCAGGGAACAGCACCACCACCAACAACAACAACAAACAUGCAAAUUGUAAAAUAUUUUAAAGGACUACUUUUAGUUGUGUACAUAACUUUUUUCUAAUUCUAAAUUAUUGCCUUGUAACAUUUUGUCUCCCUGUUGUAGAGAUUGACAUCUUUUACAAAGUCUUCAAGAGAUUCUGGCCCCCAAAGACUUCUCAGAUGUAUUGGCAGAAUUAGUAGAGUGCCAGAUAAAAUACUGGAUGGGAUUUGGCUAUAAACCUUCAGGUGAUAGGUUCAAAUUGUGUGCAAGUUAACUUUAGACCUUCCUUAUUCCAACAUUGCUAAAAUAGACACCAGACAAACAGUGGAGUUGAUAUAACCAAUUGGAACGGCCAUGGUGCUGGUGCCACGUAGAAAACAUUCAGCCCAUUCUGUAAAGUGGUUGGCAUUAGGAAGGACAUCUGGCUGUAGAAACCAUGACAAAACAGACAAUGGGACCUGGUGUGGCUGCUGACCUUACCAGUUCUUGUCAAACUGUCCAACCCAUGCCAGCAUGGAAAAAGGGACAUUAAAUGAUGAUGAUGACAAUUGAAGAACUGGAAGCAACAAAAACAUCCAACAGCAAUUACAGAAAGUUUGAAAGGAAAUAGUGGAAUAUCAGCAU